Molecule: long non-coding RNA, 2086 nt
Filed under: Setaria viridis
Lineage: Eukaryota; Viridiplantae; Streptophyta; Magnoliopsida; Poales; Poaceae
Description: long non-coding RNA (SVIR_LNC001451)
Source: RNAcentral
GAAGAUCACGCUGGAGUUCCGGAUUUAGGAGUCAUCAAGAUCAAGAUAGGAUCCCGGUGGUGAUCUUGUGAUGUACAAUCAUUUAUAGUGAAGUAAUAGAUGUGCUCAUGUUUUUAGUGAUCUAAGUAUCUCAUGCUUUUAUCGGGUUUGCUUACUUUUCAAUCUAUGAAUCGAUGAUAGAUUCCUUAGGGUAUUUUUGUGGUCGUGGUGACCGGAUUUGCAUGCCGCGCCUAAUCUACCGAUGAGUGUAACAUGUUCGUAUGAUCGUGCCCUUAACCUACUUGCACUGAUAGAGAGGAUCGUGACAGGAUUUGGCUUGUGUAAGGUGGGGGGCUUCGGGAGCUGGAUCGGAGGUGUAGAUUUAAAGAUGCUUUUUACUAGGAUCAUAUCUAUGUUGCUUUGUUAUCCAUGCUCAGAGUUACAACAUAUGCAUAGUCUAGGUUGCUCUAGGUUAGUUACCUCUGCUCUAUAUGUUAUCUGUUUAUAUAUGCUUAGUAGAUUGGAUCUGAAUCACUCAUCAACACCAAGUUAAUACUAACAAUGCUAGUUGAAGUAGAUCUUGUACUAUAAGUUCCACGAAUUGAUAAACCUUGGGGGAGUACUAUGAGGAAAGAGCUACAACUGAUCCGUGCGCUUGCGGUUCACAAAUUGGCAUGCUAACUGCCGUCAACACCUGAUAACCCAGCUCCAAAUUAUGGUGAGUUUGAUCGAUUCCCUCUAUUCUCCACUAUCUCUUUUGCGUGGAUUUCUCUUAGCAUUGAUAAUUAUGAAAGGUUUGGUUUAGGGUUAGCGUUUGGUUUAGGUUUUGCGCCAAUUAUACGCAUAAGCUGCCUACGUGGUAUUUUUUCUACACCCAUCCACACCCAACAGCUAAGUUAUUGUUCCCAACUGAACAAUUUAAGAGAUGAUGUACCUAAAUGCACCCACUCGCCAAGUUUAUGGACUAACGACGCAUUUAACUCUUAUAAAUAAAUUAAGUCGAAGAAUGAAACUUCAUGAUUCAACGGGGUUGUCCAAUGCAAAUGUCAAACUUCACAAAUGGUCCUUCCUGAUAGAAAAUUGAUAUAUGAUUUAUUUUGGUAACAAAUGGUUGUUUCUUGGAUCAUUAAUGGCCCAAUACCUAGUUAUUUUUAUGAGUAACAUCGAGUACAAAAUUAUAUAUGAAAAAAAGCCAACGAGAUUUUUUAAGAGCUUUGUUCAAAAUUUGAAAAAAUCUACUCCCUCUACUCAUAGAAGUAUAUGGUGGUUUGAAUAAGAUCCUAUCAAAACUGAAAUAGUUAAUAUUAGUAGCUUUCAAAAUAUUAAGUUUGGAAAUAUAAAAAACACGUGUAUUGUUUGGUCUUGAAUAGCAAUUUCUAGUCCCAUCCGUGUAUGAGACAUCUUAUAACUCUAUUAAAAUAGAAAAAGUAUGGUCAAUGGCACCUGAAAGAACAAAAAAAGUAAAAAACAUCACAAAUUUCACCGGGGAGAGUAACUUCCCAAUUAAAUGCAUAUUUGCUACCGACUCGAGCUAGAGUGUACUUCCUAUUUAAUGUCCCCUCUAUUUAGAAUUCAAGGUUUAUUCCCAUUUCGUUCCCUUUUUCAAAAAAAUACUUAUAUGUAAGUUUAUACCAUAUAAAUAAAAAUAUUAAUAUAGUAAGGGUGAAAGCCUUGUCCUAACGGAUAAACGGAACAAUAUAUGUUUUGUAAGAAAAAAGAAGUGCAAGCAUAAAAGGAGUUUUUCUUUUUGCCAAAUCUGAUACAAGUUAUUGGUACCCCUUAAUUGUGGUAUAGUGUUUCGGCAUAAAUCUUAUAUUAUUUAAAUUCCACACGUGAUAACUUGUCAAAUUUUAUCAGCCUACAAUCAUAUUGCUCUUUGGUCAGAACUAGCGGAGGAACUAUAAGGACUGAAAUACUAAGGAUUAGUAGAAAUUUUUGGAGCCUUUUUAUCUAAUAAUUUAGCUACUUCAUUGAUCUACUACGAAAACUUCGAUUCUAAACAUGAAACUUAUCUAUAUAGUCGCAAUUUUCUUUCUCCUCUCUUGAAACUUUUAUUCAAUCAAAAUCUUGAACUUAUAUGUUUCUUUAUCUUUACCUACAAAUCAAC